UACGAAGGGGGCUAGCGUUGCUCGGAAUCACUGGGCGUAAAGGGUGCGUAGGCGGGUUUUUAAGUCAGGGGUGAAAUCCUGGAGCUCAACUCCAGAACUGCCUUUGAUACUGAAGAUCUUGAGUCCGGGAGAGGUGAGUGGAACUGCGAGUGUAGAGGUGAAAUUCGUAGAUAUUCGCAAGAACACCAGUGGCUAAGGCGGCUCACUGGCCCGGUACUGACGCUGAGGCACGAAAGCGUGGGGAGCAAACAGG
Molecule: ribosomal RNA, 253 nt
Filed under: uncultured bacterium
Lineage: Bacteria
Description: partial 16S ribosomal RNA
Rfam family: Bacterial small subunit ribosomal RNA
Source: RNAcentral